RNAcentral lists this ribosomal RNA (563 nucleotides) under Klebsiella pneumoniae. RNAcentral's name for it is "partial 23S ribosomal RNA". It matches the Rfam family "Bacterial large subunit ribosomal RNA", at positions 2239 to 2801 of the family's 2925-position model. The record is from RNAcentral. Lineage: Bacteria; Pseudomonadati; Pseudomonadota; Gammaproteobacteria; Enterobacterales; Enterobacteriaceae.
CCGGGGUUGCGGACAGUGUCUGGUGGGUAGUUUGACUGGGGCGGUCUCCUCCCAAAGCGUAACGGAGGAGCACGAAGGUUAGCUAAUCCUGGUCGGACAUCAGGAGGUUAGUGCAAUGGCAUAAGCUAGCUUGACUGCGAGCGUGACGGCGCGAGCAGGUGCGAAAGCAGGUCAUAGUGAUCCGGUGGUUCUGAAUGGAAGGGCCAUCGCUCAACGGAUAAAAGGUACUCCGGGGAUAACAGGCUGAUACCGCCCAAGAGUUCAUAUCGACGGCGGUGUUUGGCACCUCGAUGUCGGCUCAUCACAUCCUGGGGCUGAAGUAGGUCCCAAGGGUAUGGCUGUUCGCCAUUUAAAGUGGUACGCGAGCUGGGUUUAGAACGUCGUGAGACAGUUCGGUCCCUAUCUGCCGUGGGCGCUGGAGAAUUGAGGGGGGCUGCUCCUAGUACGAGAGGACCGGAGUGGACGCAUCACUGGUGUUCGGGUUGUCAUGCCAAUGGCACUGCCCGGUAGCUAAAUGCGGAAGAGAUAAGUGCUGAAAGCAUCUAAGCACGAAACUUGCCCCG